AUUCCAGCUCCAAUAGCGUAUAUUAAAGUUGCCGCAGUUAAAAAGCUCGUAGUUGCAUUUCCGAGGCAAGGGAUUAGUCCGACCUUUGGUGGGUAUUUAAUCCUCUUGCCUCGUCCUUGAGUGGUGCUUCUUGGUAUUAAGUUAUCGAGGAGAUAGCCGCUCGUCGUUUACUGUGAGAAAAUUAGAGUGUUCAAAGCAGGCUUAUGCCGUUGAAUAUAUUAGCAUGGAAUAAUAAGAUAGGACCUCGGUACUAUUUUGUUGGUUUGAGAACCAAGGUAAUGAUGAAUAGGGACAGUUGGGGGUAUCCGUAUUCAGUUGUCAGAGGUGAAAUUCUUAGAUUUACGGAAGACGAACUACUGCGAAAGCAUUUACCAAGGAUGUUUUCAUUG
Molecule: ribosomal RNA, 389 nt
Filed under: Chaetoceros sp.
Lineage: Eukaryota; Bacillariophyta; Thalassiosirophyceae; Chaetocerotales; Chaetocerotaceae
Description: partial small subunit ribosomal RNA
Rfam family: Eukaryotic small subunit ribosomal RNA
Source: RNAcentral